Long non-coding RNA from Balaenoptera musculus (blue whale), 738 nucleotides. RefSeq lists it as uncharacterized. Lineage: Eukaryota; Metazoa; Chordata; Mammalia; Artiodactyla; Balaenopteridae. The transcript has 2 exons. The record is from RefSeq and is a predicted model, not a curated record.
CAACAGAUAGCUUGGGAAAGGCACCAGAGCCCACGUCAGCCAUGGGGGGCAACAUAGGCAGCCCCAGUACUGCCAGACGGAAAAUCACCCGUUAACAGCCCCCAGCUUAAGCAGCAUGUAUCAUCAGCAAGAUGGCAUUCUUAAGCAUCUGACCAGCAGGGCUACCUAUGCAGCCACCUUCCGUGUGAGCACCACGUUCCUUUUCAGAAGGACGGAAGAGAAUUCCGGGAGUUCCACUGCCAAACAGAACAUGGCUCACCCUCAACGCUCAGGAAACUCCCAUCACCAGUCUCUGGAAUCCCUGCCUUGGGAACACCAAGCAGCCCAGUGGCUCUGUCUUGAGGAGCUAGGCUGGCCCUGACUGGGAGCUGGAGACGCCUGACUACAUUUUAAAGAAGGUUGAAGAUGGGCGUAGGGGAAUGAAAUUCUCCAUCAUCUUCCCAAGCCCAAGGAUUUAGUUCAUCAGAUCCCUUUCCAGGAUGUCUUCCGGGAGUACCUGGGUCUGAAAUGGGCCUUUAACAUGGAGAGUGCAUAUAAGGCUUCCGUGGAAAAAAAAAACUUCUGUUAGAAAAAUCAGAAUUGUUACGGGAAUGAAUGUAUGGUAUGUUAUAUGUUUUGAAUGUAAAACCCUUGUGAACUGAAGUGCCAAAUGAAGUCAUCUCUCUGGGUGUAUAUGUAUGCGUGUACACACAAAAUAACAAAUGUGAUCUUAUUGCCAAUAAAACAGGUUUGAAAAUA